RNAcentral lists this microRNA (23 nucleotides) under Cordylochernes scorpioides. The record is from RNAcentral. Lineage: Eukaryota; Metazoa; Arthropoda; Arachnida; Pseudoscorpiones; Chernetidae.
ACACUCAGAGAGGACGAACUGGU